GAUGAACGCUGGCGGCGUGCUUAACACAUGCAAGUCGAACGAAACACCUUAUUUGAUUUUCUUCGGAACUGAAGAUUUGGUGAUUGAGUGGCGGACGGGUGAGUAACGCGUGGGUAACCUGCCCUGUACAGGGGGAUAACAGUCAGAAACGGCUGCUAAUACCGCAUAAGACCACAGCACCGCAUGGUGCAGGGGUAAAAACUCCGGUGGUACAGGAUGGACCCGCGUUUGAUUAGCUGGUUGGUGAGGUAACGGCUCACCAAGGCGACGAUCAGUAGCCGGCUUGAGAGGGUGAACGGCCACAUUGGGACUGAGACACGGCCCAAACUCCUACGGGAGGCAGCAGUGGGGAAUAUUGCACAAUGGGGGAAACCCUGAUGCAGCGACGCCGCGUGAGUGAAGAAGUAUUUCGGUAUGUAAAGCUCUAUCAGCAGGGAAGAAAAUGACG
This 448-nucleotide ribosomal RNA is filed under the name uncultured bacterium. Its description in RNAcentral is "bacterial SSU rRNA". It matches the Rfam family "Bacterial small subunit ribosomal RNA", at positions 28 to 456 of the family's 1533-position model. The record is from RNAcentral.